AUUCCAGCUCCAGUAGCGUAUAUUAAAGUUGUUGCAGUUAAAAAGCUCGUAGUUGGACUUCUGAUGUGGGACUGCGCCCCGGUAUUUUGCCGUUGGGUGCGGGCUCGCGUCUUCCUCUCGUAGUUGGAUGGUGCACUUAACUGGGUGCCUUCUGAAUAUGGGACCUUUACUUUGAAAAAAUUAGAGUGUUCAAAGCAGGCAAUCGCUUGAAUACAUUAGCAUGGAAUAAUAGAAUAGGACUUUGGUUCUAUUUUGUUGGUUUCUAGGACCGAAGUAAUGAUUAAUAGGGACAGUUGGGGGCAUUAGUAUUUAAUUGUCAGAGGUGAAAUUCUUGGAUUUAUGAAAGACUAACUACUGCGAAAGCAUUUGCCAAGGAUGUUUUCAUUA
Molecule: ribosomal RNA, 387 nt
Filed under: Choanoflagellata sp.
Lineage: Eukaryota; Choanoflagellata
Description: partial small subunit ribosomal RNA
Rfam family: Eukaryotic small subunit ribosomal RNA
Source: RNAcentral